CAUGCAGUCGAACGGUGAACACGGAGCUUGCUCUGUGGGAUCAGUGGCGAACGGGUGAGUAACACGUGAGCAACCUGCCCCUGACUCUGGGAUAAGCGCUGGAAACGGCGUCUAAUACUGGAUACGAACCACGAAGGCAUCUUCAGUGGUUGGAAAGAAUUUCGGUUGGGGAUGGGCUCGCGGCCUAUCAGCUUGUUGGUGAGGUAAUGGCUCACCAAGGCGUCGACGGGUAGCCGGCCUGAGAGGGUGACCGGCCACACUGGGACUGAGACACGGCCCAGACUCCUACGGGAGGCAGCAGUGGGGAAUAUUGCACAAUGGGCGAAAGCCUGAUGCAGCAACGCCGCGUGAGGGAUGACGGCCUUCGGGUUGUAAACCUCUUUUAGCAGGGAAGAAGCGAAAGUGACGGUACCUGCAGAAAAAGCGCCGGCUAACUACGUGCCAGCAGCCGCGGUAAUACGUAGGGCGCAAGCGUUAUCCGGAAUUAUUGGGCGUAAAGAGCUCGUAGGCGGUUUGUCGCGUCUGCUGUGAAAUCCGGAGGCUCAACCUCCGGCCUGCAGUGGGUACGGGCAGACUAGAGUGCGGUAGGGGAGAUUGGAAUUCCUGGUGUAGCGGUGGAAUGCGCAGAUAUCAGGAGGAACACCGAUGGCGAAGGCAGAUCUCUGGGCCGUAACUGACGCUGAGGAGCGAAAGGGUGGGGAGCAAACAGGCUUAGAUACCCUGGUAGUCCACCCCGUAAACGUUGGGAACUAGUUGUGGGGUCCAUUCCACGGAUUCCGUGACGCAGCUAACGCAUUAAGUUCCCCGCC
RNAcentral lists this ribosomal RNA (809 nucleotides) under Microbacterium sp. RNAcentral describes it as "bacterial SSU rRNA". It matches the Rfam family "Bacterial small subunit ribosomal RNA", at positions 54 to 873 of the family's 1533-position model. The record is from RNAcentral. Lineage: Bacteria; Bacillati; Actinomycetota; Actinomycetes; Micrococcales; Microbacteriaceae.